Molecule: non-coding RNA, 1520 nt
Organism: Megalopta genalis
Lineage: Eukaryota; Metazoa; Arthropoda; Insecta; Hymenoptera; Halictidae
Source: RefSeq, a predicted model, not a curated record
UCAUUCUUUUAUUUUAUUGAUUUCUUAAUAAAAAGAAUGUAAUAUGUUUUAUUCGAUAAAUGUGAAGGAAACAUCCUAAGGGCGUUCGCCAAGUGUUCGUUAUGGGGAGAUAAUUACCCAUAGCGCAAUAAAGGAAUCCGUUUCCAUGGUAGCCGUCGUCGCAGCUGCACUCCGCUCGAUGGUUCGAGUUCACGCAAACUGCAUUCUUGACGCAGGGGUUCCGGUUCAGGCAGGGUUCCUGGCAAGUGCCCGCGAUGCACGCCGCGGUCAACGGGCAAUCUUUGUCGCUAGUGCAACCCGCUAGAGAAAGAUUGAGGAAGCCCGUAUAGCCCCGAGAAAGUGUGCACAAGUACGAUGGACAGAGAGAAGGAGUCGCGGUUUGCGUGCGUAGACGCUACUCAGGCGGAUCAGCUUGUAUGAAACAACGAUCAGUGCGCGGGGAUUCGAGACAAUUCACAACACAAAAGUACUCAAAACAACGAGAGACAAUUCAAGAUUCUCCUAGAAGAUUGUCGAAUGAAUGAAAAAAAUAAAGGAGAAUAUCGGCAGCUAAAACUCAAGACUACAAAGAUCGUUCGCUGGAAAGAGAGGCAGACGCGCGGAGGAUUCGAGUUCUCUCGUUCGUAUACGAACCUUUGACGCAUGUGUUGGACGCUGGGUCGCACUGCAUGCCGGGCGGACAGUAAGGACAACUGGUGUCGUUCAGUACGUCUGGGGAAAUGUAGAGAACGUUUUUUUGAUUAGUCUUGCGGUGCUUGGAAGGACGGCUGAAAUUUCGCUGGGGGAUCUACCUUUCACGCAAACUGGUCUGUGAUCUUGCACGUGGCAAACUUCGACGAAGUCGCACGGGUUCUCGACGGUGCACGGGUUCAGGCACUGUUGGUUUAUGCAGGCCAGCUGGGAGAGACAGUCGUCGUGCGUUCUGCAUUUGGUAUCUACCGGAACGGACAGAGUAUUAGAGCCUCGAAGCAGCAUUCCUUCGAUUCGUAACACUAAACGCGAUCCACAAAUAGACAAGCGAGAAGAGGUUUCGUGCAGAGGCACAUUAAUGUACAACAUGCAAAGAGCGCUAAUGCAGCAGGUCCAUGUCAGCACUGGAGCCCGGCAGUGUGAUUUGACAAUUUCUACGUCAGACAUUCGACUGGUGCGCGAUGCCCGUCCGGUAUCGUUCCCGGCACAAUUUUCCCGAUCGAGAUCGAACAGCCUCGAAGAGGGUCUGCAGAGAUCAAGCAACAACUCUCCAGAAUUGGUUGCCACCAAUUUUCAUCUGGAUACGACGAAGAACACACUGGAGACACGUUUUCGUGGAGGCACAUUGUUUUGGUGAACACGAGAACAUUUACAAAAACUCCCGACAAGAAUGAUCUUUACCUGGGAGUACGCUACAAUUAGAUGUACUCUGGUCGACUGUUAGGUUGAAGCACACGGGCCGAUCGAUCGGUACCUCGCAUUUAGACUUAUCUGUGCACGGUUCAUCGGUUUUGCAACGACAUCUACCAUUCGAACAGAUAUCGCACCCU